GUUGAAGGUUGGGUAACACUAACUGGAGGACCGAACCGACUAAUGUUGAAAAAUUAGCGGAUGACUUGUGGCUGGGGGUGAAAGGCCAAUCAAACCGGGAGAUAGCUGGUUCUCCCCGAAAGCUAUUUAGGUAGCGCCUCGUGAAUUCAUCUCCGGGGGUAGAGCACUGUUUCGGCAAGGGGGUCAUCCCGACUUACCAACCCGAUGCAAACUGCGAAUACCGGAGAAUGUUAUCACGGGAGACACACGGCGGGUGCUAACGUCCGUCGUGAAGAGGGAAACAACCCAGACCGCCAGCUAAGGUCCCAAAGUCAUGGUUAAGUGGGAAACGAUGUGGGAAGGCCCAGACAGCCAGGAUGUUGGCUUAGAAGCAGCCAUCAUUUAAAGAAAGCGUAAUAGCUCACUGGUCGAGUCGGCCUGCGCGGAAGAUGUAACGGGGCUAAACCAUGCACCGAAGCUGCGGCAGCGACGCUUAUGCGUUGUUGGGUAGGGGAGCGUUCUGUAAGCCUGUGAAGGUGUGCUGUGAGGCAUGCUGGAGGUAUCAGAAGUGCGAAUGCUGACAUAAGUAACGAUAAAGCGGGUGAAAAGCCCGCUCGCCGGAAGACCAAGGGUUCCUGUCCAACGUUAAUCGGGGCAGGGUGAGUCGACCCCUAAGGCGAGGCCGAAAGGCGUAGUCGAUGGGAAACAGGUUAAUAUUCCUGUACUUGGUGUUACUGCGAAGGGGGGACGGAGAAGGCUAUGUUGGCCGGGCGACGGUUGUCCCGGUUUAAGCGUGUAGGCUGGUUUUCCAGGCAAAUCCGGAAAAUCAAGGCUGAGGCGUGAUGACGAGGCACUACGGUGCUGAAGCAACAAAUGCCCUGCUUCCAGGAAAAGCCUCUAAGCAUCAGGUAACAUCAAAUCGUACCCCAAACCGACACAGGUGGUCAGGUAGAGAAUACCAAGGCGCUUGAGAGAACUCGGGUGAAGGAACUAGGCAAAAUGGUGCCGUAACUUCGGGAGAAGGCACGCUGAUAUGUAGGUGAAGUCCCUCGCGGAUGGAGCUGAAAUCAGUCGAAGAUACCAGCUGGCUGCAACUGUUUAUUAAAAACACAGCACUGUGCAAACACGAAAGUGGACGUAUACGGUGUGACGCCUGCCCGGUGCCGGAAGGUUAAUUGAUGGGGUCAGCGCAAGCGAAGCUCUUGAUCGAAGCCCCGGUAAACGGCGGCCGUAACUAUAACGGUCCUAAGGUAGCGAAAUUCCUUGUCGGGUAAGUUCCGACCUGCACGAAUGGCGUAAUGAUGGCCAGGCUGUCUCCACCCGAGACUCAGUGAAAUUGAACUCGCUGUGAAGAUGCAGUGUACCCGCGGCAAGACGGAAAGACCCCGUGAACCUUUACUAUAGCUUGACACUGAACAUUGAGCCUUGAUGUGUAGGAUAGGUGGGAGGCUUUGAAGUGUGGACGCCAGUCUGCAUGGAGCCGACCUUGAAAUACCACCCUUUAAUGUUUGAUGUUCUAACGUUGACCCGUAAUCCGGGUUGCGGACAGUGUCUGGUGGGUAGUUUGACUGGGGCGGUCUCCUCCUAAAGAGUAACGGAGGAGCACGAAGGUUGGCUAAUCCUGGUCGGACAUCAGGAGGUUAGUGCAAUGGCAUAAGCCAGCUUGACUGCGAGCGUGACGGCGCGAGCAGGUGCGAAAGCAGGUCAUAGUGAUCCGGUGGUUCUGAAUGGAAGGGCCAUCGCUCAACGGAUAAAAGGUACUCCGGGGAUAACAGGCUGAUACCGCCCAAGAGUUCAUAUCGACGGCGGUGUUUGGCACCUCGAUGUCGGCUCAUCACAUCCUGGGGCUGAAGUAGGUCCCAAGGGUAUGGCUGUUCGCCAUUUAAAGUGGUACGCGAGCUGGGUUUAGAACGUCGUGAGACAGUUCGGUCCCUAUCUGCCGUGGGCGCUGGAGAACUGAGGGGGGCUGCUCCUAGUACGAGAGGACCGGAGUGGACGCAUCACUGGUGUUCGGGUUGUCAUGCCAAUGGCACUGCCCGGUAGCUAAAUGCGGAAGAGAUAAGUGCUGAAAGCAUCUAAGCACGAAACUUGCCCCGAGAUGAGUUCUCCCUGACCCUUUAAGGGUCCUGAAGGAACGU
This 2117-nucleotide ribosomal RNA is filed under the name Escherichia coli. RNAcentral describes it as "partial 23S ribosomal RNA". It matches the Rfam family "Bacterial large subunit ribosomal RNA", at positions 744 to 2838 of the family's 2925-position model. Lineage: Bacteria; Pseudomonadati; Pseudomonadota; Gammaproteobacteria; Enterobacterales; Enterobacteriaceae. The record is from RNAcentral.